UACGGAGGGUGCAAACGUUGCUCGGAAUCAUUGGGCGUAAAGCGCACGUAGGCGGCCUGUUAAGUCGGGUGUGAAAGCCCUCGGCUCAACCGAGGAAGUGCAUUCGAAACUGGCAGGCUUGAGUAUGGAAGAGGGUCGCGGAAUUCCCGGUGUAGAGGUGAAAUGCGUAGAGAUCCGGAGGAACACCAGAGGCGAAGGCGGCCUACUGGGCUGCACCUGACGCUGAACCGCGAAAGCUAGGGGAGCGAACGGG
RNAcentral lists this ribosomal RNA (253 nucleotides) under uncultured bacterium. RNAcentral describes it as "partial 16S ribosomal RNA". It matches the Rfam family "Bacterial small subunit ribosomal RNA", at positions 524 to 776 of the family's 1533-position model. The record is from RNAcentral.